AACCUGCCCCUCACUUCGGGAUAACCUCGGGAAAUCGUGGCUAAUACCGGAUAUGAACUUCUACCGCAUGGUGGUUGUUGGAAAGAUUUAUCGGUGAGGGAUGGACUCGCGGCCUAUCAGUUUGUUGGUGAGGUAAUGGCUCACCAAGACGAUGACGGGUAGCCGGCCUGAGAGGGCGACCGGCCACACUGGGACUGAGACACGGCCCAGACUCCUACGGGAGGCAGCAGUGGGGAAUAUUGCACAAUGGGCGAAAGCCUGAUGCAGCGACGCCGCGUGGGGGAUGACGGCCUUCGGGUUGUAAACCUCUUUCAGUAGGGAAGAAGCGAAAGUGACGGUACCUGCAGAAGAAGCGCCGGCUAACUACGUGCCAGCAGCCGCGGUAAUACGUAGGGCGCAAGCGUUGUCCGGAAUUAUUGGGCGUAAAGAGCUCGUAGGUGGCUUGUCGCGUCUGCCGUGAAAACCCGAGGCUCAACCUCGGGCGUGCGGUGGGUACGGGCAGGCUAGAGUGUGGUAGGGGAGACUGGAACUCCUGGUGUAGCGGUGAAAUGCGCAGAUAUCAGGAAGAACACCGAUGGCGAAGGCAGGUCUCUGGGCCAUUACUGACACUGAGGAGCGAAAGCAUGGGUAGCGAACAGGAUUAGAUACCCUGGUAGUCCAUGCCGUAAACGUUGGGCACUAGAUGUGGGGGACAUUCCACGUUUUCCGCGUCGUAGCUAACGCAUUAAGUGCCCCGCCUGGGGAGUACGGCCGCAAGGCUAAAACUCAAAGGAAUUGACGGGGGCCCGCACAAGCGGCGGAGCAUGCUGAUUAAUUCGAUGCAACGCGAAGAACCUUACCAAGGCUUGACAUGCACCGGGCGACUGCAGAGAUGUGGUUUUCUUCGGACUGGUGCACAGGUGGUGCAUGGUUGUCGUCAGCUCGUGUCGUGAGAUGUUGGGUUAAGUCCCGCAACGAGCGCAACCCUCGUUCUAUGUUGCCAGCACGUCAUGGUGGGGACUCAUAGGAGACUGCCGGGGUCAACUCGGAGGAAGGUGGGGACGACGUCAAAUCAUCAUGCCCCUUAUGUCUUGGGCUUCAAGCAUGCUACAAUGGUCGGUACAAUGGGUUGCGAAACUGUGAGGUGGAGCGAAUCCCAAAAAGCCGGCCUCAGUUCGGAUUGGGGUCUGCAACUCGACCCCAUGAAGUCGGAGUCGCUAGUAAUCGCAGAUCAGCAACGCUGCGGUGAAUACGUUCCCGGGCCUUGUACAC
Molecule: ribosomal RNA, 1251 nt
Filed under: Brachybacterium sp.
Lineage: Bacteria; Bacillati; Actinomycetota; Actinomycetes; Micrococcales; Dermabacteraceae
Description: bacterial SSU rRNA
Rfam family: Bacterial small subunit ribosomal RNA
Source: RNAcentral